UUGUAACACGAACCGGUGCUAAAGGGUCUCUGCCCCGACAGCACCUGUCAGUAACCGUUGGGCAGGACCCUUUAGCACCGGUUCGUGUUACAAA
Molecule: microRNA precursor, 94 nt
Filed under: Sorghum bicolor (sorghum)
Lineage: Eukaryota; Viridiplantae; Streptophyta; Magnoliopsida; Poales; Poaceae
Description: MIR5387 microRNA precursor family
Rfam family: MIR5387 microRNA precursor family
Source: Rfam by way of RNAcentral